CGAGAAAUCAGGAGUAUUCGGUUCCGGGGGGAGUAUGGUCGCAAGGCCGAAACUUAAAGGAAUUGACGGAAGGCACCACCAGGAGUGGAAUCUGCGGCUUAAUUUGACAACGCGGGAAAACUCACCAGGUCAGGACACGGUAAGGAUUGACGGACUGAAGGCUCUUCUCGAUUCCGUGGAAAGUGGUGCAUGGCCGUUUUUGGUUGGUGGAUCGAUCCGUCUGGUUAAUUCCGUUAACGAACGAGACCUCGGCACUCCGAAUAGCGCGGCGGACGUCGCGGCCUCCGGGCCGUCUUCCGCACGAGCUUCUUAGAGGGACCGUCCCCCGCCGGGGAAGGAGGUGCGAGGCAACGACAGGUCUGUGAUGCCCUUAGAUGUUCUGGGCCGCACGCGCAUUACACUGACGCGUCCAACGGGUGACUCCCGACCCGAAGGGGCCGGGGAAUCCGCAAGGCGCGUCGUGAUGGGGAUUGAACGUUGCAAUUGUUGUUCACGAACGAGGAAUUCCUAGUAGGCGCGGGUCAUCAACCCGCGCCGAUUACGUCCCUGCCCUUUGUACACACCGCCC
Molecule: ribosomal RNA, 568 nt
Filed under: uncultured eukaryote
Lineage: Eukaryota
Description: bacterial SSU rRNA
Rfam family: Eukaryotic small subunit ribosomal RNA
Source: RNAcentral